CGCGCCCGGCCCGCCGCCCCCGCCCCCCUACGGGAGGCAGCAGUGAGGAAUAUUGGUCAAUGGGCGCAAGCCUGAACCAGCGACGCCGCGUGGGGGAUGAAGGGGCUUUGCCUCGUAAACCUCUGUCGGAUGGGACGAAAGGUGGCUUUGAGCCACUGGGACGGUACCAUCAAAGGAAGGAUCGGCUAACUACGUGCCAGCAGCCGCGGUAAUACGUAGGAUCCGAGCGUUGUCCGGAGUUACUGGGUGUAAAGGGUGCGUAGGCUGUUCUGUGCGUCAGAGGUGAAAUCCACGGGCUUAACUCGUGGGGUGCCUAUGAUACGGCAGGGCUUGAGUACGAGAGAGGUGCGUGGAAUUCCUGGUGUAGCAGUGAAAUGCGUAGAUAUCAGGAGGAACACCGGUGGCGAAGGCGGCGCACUGGCUCGUAACUGACGAUGAGGCACGAAAGCGUGGGGAUCAAACAGGAUUAGAUACCCUGGUAGUCCACGC
RNAcentral lists this ribosomal RNA (489 nucleotides) under uncultured bacterium. Its description in RNAcentral is "bacterial SSU rRNA". It matches the Rfam family "Bacterial small subunit ribosomal RNA", at positions 295 to 800 of the family's 1533-position model. The record is from RNAcentral.